This 424-nucleotide ribosomal RNA is filed under the name uncultured bacterium. RNAcentral's name for it is "bacterial SSU rRNA". It matches the Rfam family "Bacterial small subunit ribosomal RNA", at positions 359 to 774 of the family's 1533-position model. The record is from RNAcentral.
GAAUAUUGGACAAUGGGGGGAACCCUGAUCCAGCCAUGCCGCGUGUGUGAAGAAGGCCUUUUGGUUGUAAAGCACUUUAAGCGAGGAGGAGGCUACUCUAGUUAAUACCUAGAGAUAGUGGACGUUACUCGCAGACUAAGCACCGGCUAACUCUGUGCCAGCAGCCGCGGUAAUACAGAGGGUGCAAGCGUUAAUCGGAUUUACUGGGCGUAAAGCGCGCGUAGGUGGCCAAUUAAGUCAAAUGUGAAAUCCCCGAGCUUAACUUGGGAAUUGCAUUCGAUACUGGUUGGCUAGAGUAUGGGAGAGGAUGGUAGAAUUCCAGGUGUAGCGUUGAAAUGCGUAAACAUCUAGAGAAAUACCGAUGGCUAAGGCAGCCAUCUGGCCUAAUACUGACACUGAGGUGCGAAAGAAUGGGGAGCAAACA